This 285-nucleotide long non-coding RNA is filed under the name Elaeis guineensis (African oil palm). Its description in RNAcentral is "long non-coding RNA (EGUI_LNC016406)". The record is from RNAcentral. Lineage: Eukaryota; Viridiplantae; Streptophyta; Magnoliopsida; Arecales; Arecaceae.
GAUCUAGAUGAGCAUCAGAAAACUAGGACCCGACAGAUUGCACUAGGGUAUAGAAUUACAGGAUAAUCACCACAAGAAAUCAAGAACCAAUCAAAUCCGAACUAGAAAACAAGAACCCUCUUUGGAAAACCGAAUAAAGAAAGAGAACAGGAACAAGGGAAGAUACUAUCUAACACCGAUUCCGAACUAGAAUCAAGAACCGUAAGAAUGGUGAAAUCGCCAGAAGUAACGCCAAAAUCGAAAAGAACAUCAGGAACCACAUAAGAAUGCAAAGACAAUGCAAGA